Long non-coding RNA from Solanum tuberosum (potato), 540 nucleotides. RefSeq lists it as uncharacterized. The record is from RefSeq and is a predicted model, not a curated record. Lineage: Eukaryota; Viridiplantae; Streptophyta; Magnoliopsida; Solanales; Solanaceae. The transcript is spliced from 3 exons.
UGCAGGUUCAAGAUGAAACUAGUCAAGACUAAAAAUGAGGACAGUUCAACUAUGAAGAGUACUUUGAGAUAUACAUUUGUUGCGCCUGGUUCUAUUGGAAAUGGACGAGGACGAGGAGUUGGACUUAAAUUGUUGGGUGAGAAAGGGAAUAUGCCAGCUAAGAAGUUAUUUUCUCAAUCUAAUGAUCUUGUUAACCACUACAUCCAAGAAAUUGAAACAAGGAAGACUCGAGGACUAGGACAGAAAAGUUAUACAAUGUCUAGUAGUCAAGGAAUGGAACAAUGCGUAAGAGCUCCCUGGAUCUUGAGAAAGAGAACAUGAAAAUUAAUAUUCCAUCUACGACAUGUACUAAUCAAGUUAAGCAAUACACCAAGAAGUUGAAACAAGUGCUACAGGAAAGGGAAUAGAGCAAAGAUCUGAGUCUACAAUGUCUUCUAAAAGCACAAGAUCGAAUACUACCAAGUCUUCUAGUCAAGAAAUGCAAAACAUGGACAGAAAUCCCCUGGUUAGUGAGAAAGAUGAUAAGCAAAUCAAUAUUUC